Molecule: transfer RNA, 72 nt
Filed under: Bos taurus (domestic cattle)
Lineage: Eukaryota; Metazoa; Chordata; Mammalia; Artiodactyla; Bovidae
Also listed under: 2 other names
Rfam family: tRNA
About the family: Transfer RNA (tRNA) molecules are approximately 80 nucleotides in length.
Source: Rfam by way of RNAcentral
UCCCUGGUGGCUCAGCAGGUAAAGAAUCUGCCUGCAAUGCAGGAGAUCUAGGUUCGAUUCCUGGGUUGGGAA